CCUACGGGCGGCAGCAGUGGGGAAUAUUGGACAAUGGGCGAAAGCCUGAUCCAGCCAUGCCGCGUGUGUGAAGAAGGCCUUCGGGUUGUAAAGCACUUUCAGUGGGGAAGAAAGCCUUGGGGCUAAUACCCUCGAGGAAGGACAUCACCCACAGAAGAAGCACCGGCUAACUCCGUGCCAGCAGCCGCGGUAAUACGGAGGGUGCGAGCGUUAAUCGGAAUUACUGGGCGUAAAGCGCGCGUAGGCGGUCUGAUAAGCCGGUUGUGAAAGCCCCGGGCUCAACCUGGGAACGGCAUCCGGAACUGGCAGGCUAGAGUGCAGGAGAGGAAGGUAGAAUUCCCGGUGUAGCGGUGAAAUGCGUAGAGAUCGGGAGGAAUACCAGUGGCGAAGGCGACCUUCUGGACUGACACUGACGCUGAGGUGCGAAAGCGUGGGUAGCAAACAGGAUUAGAUACCCUUGUAGUC
This 465-nucleotide ribosomal RNA is filed under the name Vreelandella stevensii. RNAcentral describes it as "partial 16S ribosomal RNA". It matches the Rfam family "Bacterial small subunit ribosomal RNA", at positions 338 to 795 of the family's 1533-position model. The record is from RNAcentral. Lineage: Bacteria; Pseudomonadati; Pseudomonadota; Gammaproteobacteria; Oceanospirillales; Halomonadaceae.